AGGGUUUGAUCAUGGCUCAGGAUGAACGCUAGCUACAGGCUUAACACAUGCAAGUCGAGGGGUAGCAGGGUAGCAAUACCGCUGACGACCGGCGCACGGGUGAGUAACACGUAUCCAACCUACCGUCUACUCGGGGAUAGCCUUUCGAAAGAAAGAUUAAUACCCGAUAGUAUAAAGAGUUCGCAUGUUCUCUUUAUUAAAGGAUUCCGGUAAACGAUGGGGAUGCGUUCCAUUAGAUUGUUGGCGGGGUAACGGCCCACCAAGUCUUCGAUGGAUAGGGGUUCUGAGAGGAAGGUCCCCCACAUUGGAACUGAGACACGGUCCAAACUCCUACGGGAGGCAGCAGUGAGGAAUAUUGGUCAAUGGGCGAGAGCCUGAACCAGCCAAGUAGCGUGAAGGAUGACUGCCCUAUGGGUUGUAAACUUCUUUUAUAAGGGAAUAAAGUGGAGAACGUGUUCUCCUUUGUAUGUACCUUACGAAUAAGGAUCGGCUAACUCCGUGCCAGCAGCCGCGGUAAUACGGAGGAUCCGAGCGUUAUCCGGAU
This 544-nucleotide ribosomal RNA is filed under the name uncultured Bacteroidota bacterium. RNAcentral describes it as "bacterial SSU rRNA". It matches the Rfam family "Bacterial small subunit ribosomal RNA", at positions 8 to 550 of the family's 1533-position model. Lineage: Bacteria; Pseudomonadati; Bacteroidota. The record is from RNAcentral.